UACGUAGGGACCAAGCGUUGUUCGGAUUUACUGGGCGUAAAGGGCGCGUAGGCGGCUUGUCAAGUCACUUGUGAAAUCUCUGGGCUUAACCCAGGACGGCCAAGUGAAACUGACAUGCUAGAGUGCAGAAGGGGCAAUCGGAAUUCUUGGUGUAGCGGUGAAAUGCGUAGAUAUCAAGAGGAACACCUGAGGUGAAGACGGGUUGCUGGGCUGACACUGACGCUGAGGCGCGAAAGCCAGGGGAGCAAACGGG
RNAcentral lists this ribosomal RNA (253 nucleotides) under uncultured bacterium. RNAcentral's name for it is "partial 16S ribosomal RNA". It matches the Rfam family "Bacterial small subunit ribosomal RNA", at positions 524 to 776 of the family's 1533-position model. The record is from RNAcentral.